AUGAGAAACGAGGUCCCUACGCAAAAUAACCGAGUUUCCUCUUUCAGAAUGAAAAGAGGGAAGGAGUUAGAAGGACACACAGAGAGACCGGAGGUGAGAGGGCACACGCAGAGGAGCAUAAGCUCUCCAAACACACACCCCGCUCUGUCCUCCGGUCUGGGCUCCCUCGCAGCAGCGCUGACUCUCAGUACUGGUCCUUCUCUCCCCUCUCCCAGGCCCGGGGACAAUGUAGAGCCUGUAUUUUCAGGAGCCGCGCGGGGCGGCAGGGUUUUCAGCAGCCAGCCGGGCUCCGAGCCGCUGUUUGUCCAGGUGUGGGCGGGGGGCGGCGGGCUCCCAGCGGCCAGUCCCCGGCUGGCGCUGGAUUUUCUCACCAAGGAAGCGGGAGGCUCUCCUCGCGGCUUCCCGCUUCCAGGAGAAAACUCCCUCCUUCCCUACAUACAUGCAUAUAUUAGUGGAACAGACAAAUCUUCAUUGUUCGGAAAUAAGCCGAGGAGGCCGGCCGACUCCCCCUGGCCCAGCCGAACGAGAACAGCAAGUGGAUGGGAAAGAACCUUGACAACACAAAACUCAUUUACUAAUGGACUGGUUUUGAGUUUCUCUUCUCGGGGUCCGCAAAUCUCCCUGCCUGAGUCCUCCGCCCAUUCAGACCUCGCAGGGAGCACGGUCCCCCAGGAGGCAGGUGGGCGGCUGCUCCGGCGCCGCGCUGGCCGUCGGAGCAGGGAUCCCAAGGGUCGGGGGCACCCGGAGUUCCCAACGAGGCAGAGGAAAAAAGACGAAUGUUGUCACUGCACCCUGGAUUUGGGGAGUCUCCGCACGGCCCUAGAGCGACGACGCUAAUAUACUGAAGAAACACCUCCCGAUGCUCUUCCCUUCCAGAUAUCCGUAGGUAGAGCAGGAUCCCCGCGGUAGUUCUUCUUGUUGGCGAAGCAAUUCCAAGAAAGCGGGCCGGGAGCCCCAAAGCAUCUCUCUCCAAGCCAGAGGGGAAACAGAUGGGCUCCACACAGAGGUUUCUGAACCAAGGCCUUAUACCGACCCAGCCGAGAACCCCUGCCAGCAACUAGUGCAUUGGCCUUUUGCAUAAAGCAGCUGAGCGCACCGGGCCGUUACUUGCACAGAGGAGGCACAGAAGAGCCCGAGCCCGGCGUCGGGUGCCGGUUGUCGGUCGCCAGCCGCGUUACCCUCGGGAGCCGCCGAGAAGCAGCAAGGGCAGGAGCUAGUUGCUCGUUCCCUUUAAAUCUCCGACGCAUCUCCGUUUUUCGUGUGAUUUGCAUUGACAGCAAAGGUUUUAAGUUACUAGAACAACUCAAAGCUUUCUGUGUACGAUUUAAAAUGGAUCAUUUGGUUUAUGUGGUUUGUAAAUUCAUGUCAUUUUACCUCUUUUAGUGGUUUUCACUGAAAGGCUCCAUUUUGGGAAACCUUAUAUAUCCGAGCCAACAAUUAACAUUUAUAACAAUUGGUUUCCCUAACCAAGGGAUCGAAAUAGUAGGUAGGUUCAUUGGUACAAAGCGAAUAGCACUUCUCCUUUCUAGUUACGCGAUCUAUUGGAUUAAACGCAAGGAGAAAGGCCGGCGGGUCCCGGCUCGGCCUCUGAGGACAAGCACCACAUCUCAUCAACCUCGGUGCACCCACUUGCGGCACCCACGCGGUCAUCUCCCCAGUUGUCGCCAACAUAUCUCACGUCCGCGUUCCUUUUGAAGAAAGAUGAAAAGAAGCGGGCAGAGAGGUCUGGAGGAAGCAGAAAAAAAAAAAAAAAAAGGUGGUCCUAUUGGUGUCUAAUUGCCAUCUUUCUGCUCCUCGUCAUCCCCUGUAAAUUUAUACCUGCCCUUAUUUGUCCAAGCUACGCCUCAUUUCCUAAUACAAAAUUGUUAAUUAUAAAGUACACCCCACACUCAACUUACCGUUUGUCUUUUAAGAGAUGAGACUGUACUUACAGACCCUCCACUCCCUAUGCACACAUUUUAAUUCUGCGCACUUGCUCCGGACUUGAGGGUAUUAACUGAUUUUUAGAGCCGAGUUUAAGCCUCCGUUCUGGUCUUCACACAGCUGCCAUGUCAAUAAGGACUAUUGAAAACAGAGAUGUUCCUUCUGGCAGGACACUGCAGCUCCUUAGGAGCUGAAACAUCAUGAGCACUAAAAUAAGACAGCGAGGGAAAAUUACCAGACACAUGGGUUUGGGCUCAGCCAUGCCAGGCUUCCAGUUUAGAAAGUAAGUCAUUGGACACACCAUAGGGUUGGGGCUCUUUUGAAAUAAUAUGCACCAAAAAAGAGAGAAAAGAAAAAGAGAGAGAAAGAAAGGAAGGGACAAAGGAAAAGAAAUACUAAUGCACCCAUUAACUGUAUUUUAAAAAUAACUCUAAAGGUAAUGAAAUAUCAGCAUCUAUUUCCAAGGUCUAAUUGCAUGGGAUACUGCAGAAUUUUAAGGAUGCAAAAUGCACUGUGUGGGAGUUCAGAGGAGAAGCAGCUUCUCUCUACUUGGAAUCUCUGGAGAGACAGUCAGGAGGGUGAAACCCUUCAUGAGUUUAAAUGUGCAUUGCAGGGUGCACUAAACUGGGUGCAUUAUUGUGAAACCAUAUAAAUAAUACAGGGGGAAACUUACGCAGUGCCCACUUAAGUCUCAAUAUAUAAAUGGUUCUGUGGAGCUGGGUUCUGGCUCAUGUAAUCAAAACAUAUUUGAAGAAGACAAGCAAGUUUAAAGAACCUAGAGUUUGUUCUUCACAUUCACUAAGAGGGUGCAUUUAAAUCAAAAGCAUUUUUGAAGUGUACUUAAAAUUCUGUUUUGCACUUAUCUAAUCAGAGAUAAGUAUAGGUUAUAAAGUCACUCUCCAUCUACCAUUCUGCUCCCCUUAUCUUCCCACAUUGUUCUUAUCUGCUGCCAGUCUCAGCUACUGACAAUAGAUUAUCUUUGUUUAGAGACGCUAAUUGUUUUCAAAAUCUUUUUAAUAAUUGCUUUGGAACAAGGUGUGCAAAUGAGGCUUAAGAUAAUUACAGCUUCAUUUGUUUGUACAGUUUUACUAAACAUUCUCCACAUAUACACAAAGUAACAGAUGAUGGGAUUGAAAUUGCGGGACAUCUCUCAUUCCCUGGCAGUAAAAUAGGCCAGCAUUGCAAUCUACACACACACACACACACACACACACACACACACACACACCCCUCUUUAUUUAAUCUUCCUGGAGCCGCUGUCGUCCUGGCUUUGAGGGCAGUGUCCCUCUCAGAGCAGGGCAAGGAUUAGGUUACAAUCAGAAGGCUAUUGGAGCCGGACACAGUUUUAUUUAAUUUACACCCCGUCCAGCGCCUUUUGUACGAGGUUCCCAAAGCAUUUUUGCUAAUAGCAAGUAAAGCCUCUCGGCAUUCCUCAGUAGCAGAGAUGGCCUUGGAAAACGCAAUCGCGCACAUGGGGAAACUGAGUCCAGAAGGCUGCUCGCUUAAACCAUCGAACGCGAAGAUACCAAAUCACAAAUGAACCCUCAGAAUCUUUAUUUGCUCCAAACAGCUCUUCUCAUGGUCCCAAAUAGUCUUGGCCUCUUGAAAAUGAGGGAAGCGCUAACCAGCUGAGAAUACUUGUGCCCUUUGGAGGGCGGUGGGGUGAAGGAAGAACAGUGGAGGAAAUGAGGCUCCUAGAACUGAAGUCAGCCAGGGAGCAGCUACUCUUCCAGAGGCUGCAGCUCGGAGCCCAGCUCUGAUCUUGUAUUAUUUAUCGCGUUCCCUAAGCUAUUCAUCAAUCCAUUAUUUAUUCAUUCCAACAUUAAGGUAAUUAAAUAUGAGCUCACCGGGAAAGGGCAAGUCUGCAAGGGACAGGGACAGGGGUAUGGAGGGAGAGGGG
RNAcentral lists this long non-coding RNA (3823 nucleotides) under Canis lupus familiaris (dog). Its description in RNAcentral is "lncRNA (ENSCAFG00030024750.1)". The record is from RNAcentral. Lineage: Eukaryota; Metazoa; Chordata; Mammalia; Carnivora; Canidae.